RNAcentral lists this small RNA (559 nucleotides) under Pan troglodytes (chimpanzee). RNAcentral describes it as "retained intron". The record is from RNAcentral. Lineage: Eukaryota; Metazoa; Chordata; Mammalia; Primates; Hominidae.
CUGCGCUCUCCUUCGCCUGCGGGCCGGCACUGCUCACCUCUCGUCCAGGGACAUGACGGGCACGCCAGGCGCCGCUGCCACCCGGGAUGGCGAGGCCCCCGAGCGCUCCCCGCCCUGCAGUCCGAGCUACGACCUCACGGGCAAGAACAAGGUGGUGAUUGUGGAUGGCGUGAGAGUGAAGCUGCAGAUCUGGGACACCGCUGGGCAGGAACGGUUCCGAAGCGUCACCCAUGCUUAUUACAGAGAUGCUCAGGCCUUGCUUCUGCUGUAUGACAUCACCAACAAAUCUUCUUUCGACAACAUCAGGGCCUGGCUCACUGAGAUUCAUGAGUAUGCCCAGAGGGACGUGGUGAUCAUGCUGCUAGGCAACAAGGUGAGUGGCUCCGGGGCAGGGUCAGCCCAGCCCUGCACUUCCUCAGCCCUAGCCAGCCCCAUAACCACCCAAGAACAGUUAUCUAGGCAUCCUUCCUGAAAAGGACUCUGCAGCCUCCAGCUCAGGGGUCAGACAUAUCUGGAGGCUUCUGCCCAUCCCAUCUGCCCCUUCCAGGGAAAGUCCAAG